Molecule: long non-coding RNA, 1069 nt
Organism: Rhincodon typus (whale shark)
Lineage: Eukaryota; Metazoa; Chordata; Chondrichthyes; Orectolobiformes; Rhincodontidae
Exons: 3
Source: RefSeq, a predicted model, not a curated record
ACCUCCCCGCUCAAACAAAACUGACCCUCCGGGGGGAGGGGAAACAAUCAACCCAGACCUGCCGGCACUUAUAGACCAGUGCAAAAUAUUUAUUACAGUCUUUGUACCCAAGCGGUGACAGAAGUACGUCGCCGUUAUGCUGAUAGGCGUGACGGACGUUAUUCCGGCGGAGGCGGGAGUCCUGUUCGUUGGGACCACGCGGGAAUCCCCAUUGCAGCCGACACUGUGAACGAUUAGACUCAACAUUUUUAGGAAGAAAGGUCCAGAUUUCCAGCAGGAUUUGUGUGAGGAUGUACUUUUUGAUACCACUACUGAAUCACCCAAGACUGAUGCCAUAUUUGUGACCCUUAAUACUGCAAGCUCAUGAGCAAACAGCCUCUUCCCUGACAAAAAGAAGAUCAUUGAUAAAGCAAUUGGAAAUGUUUGAUUCGACCAGAUACAGAUCAGCACAAGUUCAUCAACUACGCUUCUUACUCACUCCAAGUUCCAGUUCAUCUGCUUCCAAACAGAAGGUUGGCUCAGAUCCAGGAGUGCAGCAGGUUAACAGACAGAUUCCCAUUGUGCCUGAACAGAAAAAUAAUAAAUUCAUAAUCAAAAGAACUUGUACAGAUGAUAUUGCUUCUAACUGAUCUACAUCAGAUGGCAUAUUCAAGCUAAAUGAAUAAGAGAACGAAGGAGAAGCAACAGAACAAUGAACAAAGCCUGUCCAAAUUCCCUUCAAGCCUCAUUGUAUCAUCCUCAUAACUCAUUCCUACAUCAUUAUGUUGUCUGCAAACUUUUCAAUAUUACAUUUGGUGUCCACAUUCAGAUCAGUGAUACAGAUUGUGAACAGCUGGGUUCUAAGCACAGACCCUUGAAACACCCUACUCAUCACACAUUGCCAACCUGAGAAUGACCCAUUUAUUUCUGCUCUGUUUUCUUUCCAUUAACCAAUCCUCAGUCUAUGCCAGUAUGUUACCCCGAUCCUAUGUACUGCUGUUUUGUUUAUUAAUCCCUUGUAUGGGAUCUUAUUAACAGCCACUGAAAAUCCAAAUACACAACACCCACUUGUACACCUUUAUCUACUCUA